CGGCCACUAGCAUCGCACUGUACUUCUGUUAGACGAGCGAAGUUUUGUUUGACCUCAUAUAUUUCCAUAUGGCAAUUGGCAUUAUCAAGCGUUGUAGAAACAUCCCUACAGAACGUAUAAAUAAUGUGAUGGCAACGGUUCUCUAAUCUGCUCAUGGUGGACCGAAAUUGCAUCUCCAACAUACAGAUUCCUAGCUUGUACCUGAAGAUGAUAUCAAUGUUAUUUGGCCCAUACGCAUAUACCGCUUUUUCAACUUUUGAUGAAACCCACAAAAAAUCUUGUACGU
Molecule: long non-coding RNA, 286 nt
Filed under: Sorghum bicolor (sorghum)
Lineage: Eukaryota; Viridiplantae; Streptophyta; Magnoliopsida; Poales; Poaceae
Description: long non-coding RNA (SBIC_LNC003581)
Source: RNAcentral